RNAcentral lists this long non-coding RNA (480 nucleotides) under Carica papaya (papaya). RNAcentral's name for it is "long non-coding RNA (CPAP_LNC016681)". The record is from RNAcentral. Lineage: Eukaryota; Viridiplantae; Streptophyta; Magnoliopsida; Brassicales; Caricaceae.
CUUCGUAAAAAAAUCUAUACAAGUAAUGGUCGAAACUGAGAUCUACAAUAUUUACUCUCCUUAUCAGCCUCCACAGGUCUGCUAGUGUAUUCCUCAUCACUUCAAACUUCACAACCGCUUCAGUAUAGAAUCUUCCUACAAAACAUGGAUCAUACGACUCUUGUUGUUCAGGGAGAAGUUCAGUUAAGUCCCAGGUUCAAUCCUCCUCCUCUACGAUCGACAAUGACACCACGCCAUCCACCAUAUCCAUCGGUCACCCUUUACGUGCCAAUUGAUAGACUAUUGACAGAAACAACAAUAACUUAUCUGUGGUGCAAAAAGGUCUCACUACUAGAAACAAUAACUCUUACCAAACAAAGAAAAUGGAGAAUAGGGUCAUCCAACACUGACUUGGUACUAGACCAAGUCAAUUCCUAUUUACAUUUGAUUUACAUUUGUAAGUUUCAAAACCAAACCCUCUUAGUAAAAAGGGGAGGUAAU